CACUGCUUAUUGUCAUUAGAUGUUUUGUCCUGUUCAUCCAAUUUCAUACUCUAUAUAUUCUGUUUUACUUCUACUUAUCUCUAGUCUCUUUCCUUAAAGUGCUAUUCUUUAUUCCUCAAACCUAUUUUUAACUUCUUCAGGAUUUUCUUCUAUCAAAACUAUAAUCUGCAAACAUCAUACACCAUGAAACCUCGCCUUUUAUUAACUUUGUAAUUUCAACAGGAACCAAGUCCACAUCAUUAUGGAGGGCGUUUAUAACAAUUAGUAUUAGUUGGACUUUAAUAAUUCGG
This is a non-coding RNA of Cinara cedri, 290 nucleotides long. NCBI's taxonomy places the organism in Eukaryota, Metazoa, Arthropoda, Insecta, Hemiptera, Aphididae. The record is from the annotation of a GenBank genome assembly.